UCCCUGAUAGCUCAACGGCAGAGCAGUCGACUGUUAAUCGACAGGUUCUUGGUUCGAAUCCAAGUCAGGGAGCCU
RNAcentral lists this transfer RNA (75 nucleotides) under Actinomycetes bacterium. RNAcentral's name for it is "Actinobacteria bacterium tRNA-Asn". It matches the Rfam family "tRNA". Rfam says of the family: Transfer RNA (tRNA) molecules are approximately 80 nucleotides in length. Their secondary structure includes four short double-helical elements and three loops (D, anti-codon, and T loops). The record is from RNAcentral. Lineage: Bacteria; Bacillati; Actinomycetota; Actinomycetes.